This 613-nucleotide ribosomal RNA is filed under the name uncultured fungus. Its description in RNAcentral is "eukaryotic LSU rRNA". The stretch from base 211 to 364 matches the Rfam family "5.8S ribosomal RNA". The record is from RNAcentral. Lineage: Eukaryota; Fungi.
UCCGUAGGUGAACCUGCGGAAGGAUCAUUAAAGAGUAAGGGUGUUCAGCGCCCGACCUCCAACCCUUUGUUGUUAAAACUACCUUGUUGCUUUGGCGGGACCGCUCGGUCUCGAGCCGCUGGGGAUUCGUCCCAGGCGAGCGCCCGCCAGAGUUAAACCAAACUCUUGUUAUUUAACCGGUCGUCUGAGUUAAAAUUUUGAAUAAAUCAAAACUUUCAACAACGGAUCUCGUGGUUCUCGCAUCGAUGAAGAACGCAACGAAAUGCGAUAAGUAAUGUGAAUUGCAGAAUUCAGUGAAUCAUCGAAUCUUUGAACGCACAUUGCGCCCCUUGGUAUUCCGAGGGGCAUGCCUGUUCGAGCGUCAUUACACCACUCAAGCUAUGCUUGGUAUUGGGUGCCGUCCUUAGUUGGGCGCGCCUUAAAGACCUCGGCGAGGCCUCACCGGCUUUAGGCGUAGUAGAAUUUAUUCGAACGUCUGUCAAAGGAGAGGACUUCUGCCGACUGAAACCUUUUAUUUUUCUAGGUUGACCUCGGAUCAGGCAGGGAUACCCGCUGAACUUAAGCAUAUCAAUAAGCGGAGGAAAAGAAACCAACAGGGAUUGCCCUAGUAACG